GGAUUGUGGGUCAGUGGCAGAGCACUUGCCUUGCAUGUGUGAGGCACUGGGUUCAAUCCUCAGCACCA
This 68-nucleotide transfer RNA is filed under the name Marmota monax (woodchuck). RNAcentral describes it as "tRNA.Ala". Lineage: Eukaryota; Metazoa; Chordata; Mammalia; Rodentia; Sciuridae. The record is from RNAcentral.